This 338-nucleotide unclassified non-coding RNA is filed under the name soil metagenome. RNAcentral describes it as "partial contains 5.8S ribosomal RNA, internal transcribed spacer 2, and large subunit ribosomal RNA". The stretch from base 1 to 120 matches the Rfam family "5.8S ribosomal RNA", at positions 35 to 154 of the family's 154-position model. The record is from RNAcentral.
GAUGAAGAACGUAGCGAAAUGCGAUAAGUAGUGUGAAUUGCAGAAUUCAGUGAAUCAUCGAAUCUUUGAACGCACAUUGCGCCCUUUGGUAUUCCAAAGGGCAUGCCUGUUCGAGCGUCAUUUGUACCCUCAAGCUUUGCUUGGUGUUGGGCGUCUUGUCUCCAGUCCGCUGGAGACUCGCCUUAAAGUCAUUGGCAGCCGGCCUACUGGUUUCGGAGCGCAGCACAAGUCGCACUCUUUUCCAGCCAAGGUCAGCGUCCAACAAGCCUUUUUUCAACUUUUGACCUCGGAUCAGGUAGGGAUACCCGCUGAACUUAAGCAUAUCAAUAAGCGGAGGA